UACAGAGGUGGCAAGCGUUGUUCGGAAUUACUGGGCGUAAAGGGCGCGUAGGCGGUCUUGUAAGUCUUGUGUGAAAUCCCUUGGCUUAACUGAGGAACUGCACGAGAUACUGCAAGACUUGAGAUCGGGAGAGGGAAGCGGAAUUCCGGGUGUAGCGGUGAAAUGCGUAGAUAUCCGGAGGAACACCGGUGGCGAAGGCGGCUUCCUGGACCGACACUGACGCUGAGGCGCGAAAGCUAGGGGAGCAAACGGG
This 253-nucleotide ribosomal RNA is filed under the name uncultured bacterium. Its description in RNAcentral is "partial 16S ribosomal RNA". It matches the Rfam family "Bacterial small subunit ribosomal RNA", at positions 524 to 776 of the family's 1533-position model. The record is from RNAcentral.